AAACCUUGAAUCCACGUCCCCAAAGGGGCCCAGAACAAGUAUUUUAUGACCGUAGGGGGUUGAGAUUGCACACGUACUGAUGACCAGGGCAGGAAAGUGCACUGUAGACGAGCAAACGUGGAGCAUGUGCAUUGGGCUAAGGUGCGUGGAACAUACAUCCCGUGGUCCGCGUGGGGCGGACGCUUAACCCCAGAAUGAGGCAAAAUUCAGCCGCUGAGUCAUGAGGUUAUCUUAGGACGGAGAAGGAGAACCGGUGUUGGGCGCGCUCCCAGAACUAGUAUCAACUGGAUGGGGUCUCGGGCUGCUUAUCUCGGGUAAGGAAUGUUCCUAAGCUGCGUCCCUAUCAGUUGACCUCGAAUCCAGGCUUCUGCACAGACGGCCCGUGGGUUGGUUAGUGGGGCCCCAGAGAGACACGAUAGCUGAUGCAGGAGACGCAAUUCUUUGAAAGACAGGUUUUAAACCUUCUGGCUCGUUUCGACCUCGUCAACCCUGUGGGGGCACGGUUUUAUGCCUUCUUAGUCACGGAUCUGUGGUGCCUGACGGCAGAGGCCCAGCGGGGAAAGGGAACAUGUUGGCAGUGCACGUUGUGAAUCAUUCUGUGCCUCUUAGAAGUCACUGCCCAGCAGAGCUUUCCAGAGGAGGGAGAGGUGUCAUCGUUUUUGCUUUUCCCACAAACAGACCCUAAACCGAGCUUGCAUGUGGAAGGAGAUGGGAUGACUUGAAGGAGCUGAGAUGUGCUCCUCCUGGAUGAGGAUGAGGUGCUUUCCUGAACCUUUUCUCCUCUUGCUGCAUCGAGCCUGCAAACAUCACCGGCCACUUGUUUGCCUGCAGGGAUGGCCUAGGAGCCUGCUUACUGUGAAUAUGCAAUCAGCGCCCGCCCGCGGGGAGCUUUGCAGGGAGGCUGGCCGAGGGCUCUCAGAAGCUGCGUGGGGGAGACCUGCUCCUGACUCUGUCUUCGGCCUGUGACCCCGAGUUGGGAUCUAUGGAAUUUUACUGGCCGCGUUCCUGAGAAGAAUGCUUCGUGUUUCAGGGUCACCUGCCCAUGGCUAUCUGAGCCACCCGAAGGAAAACGUGGGUGAGGGACACGUGGUCAAUAAGAACGUCGCAUCGUGUUCCUGGUGGGAUCUGCGGUGGAGAUAUCGGAACCACGUUUUCAAGGGAAGGUCAUACUUAGCGGCAACAAUGUGCUUUUUAGUGCUUCGUUCUUAACACAUUCGAAGGGGGCCUGUCCGCUCCUCGGCCCACGGGAGAUGCCAGCUUGGUCACGUGCAAGAAACAUGACCUGCUCAGGUGAGCGCUCUGAGGGCCCAGGACACCACGGGGAGCCAGCGGCGAGGUGCAGUUGGAUAAUAUAAACCUAUGAAAUUCCAUAUUUUCUCACUGAUACUACCAGCGUCUAUGAAGCCAACCACGUCAAAGUGCCUCCAACCCUAGCAGACGUCCUUCCUCCGUGGACUCGUAGAAGGUAGCAGCCCACCCUCCCCUUUCCCCCCAGCUUAUGGAAACAAUUUACGAAGAUAAAUCUCUACAGGAUGACUGCGUUAAAUAUUUAAUUAGUUCUCCGAACAAACAGGAGAAUCUACGACUCCAAAGGAAAAUAAAAAGGGAAAGCAGAUUCUUCA
This is a long non-coding RNA of Vulpes vulpes (red fox), 1622 nucleotides long. Lineage: Eukaryota; Metazoa; Chordata; Mammalia; Carnivora; Canidae. The record is from Ensembl.